AGGACGAACGCUGGCGGCGUGCUUAACACAUGCAAGUCGAGCGGAAAGGCCCUUCGGGGUACUCGAGCGGCGAACGGGUGAGUAACACGUGAGCAACCUGCCCUGGACUUUGGGAUAACCCUCGGAAACGGGGGCUAAUACCGGAUAUUACUUCUGCCCGCAUGGGUGGUGGUGGAAAGUUUUUUCGGUCUGGGAUGGGCUCGCGGACUAUCAGCUUGUUGGUGGGGUGAUGGCCUACCAAGGCGACGACGGUUAG
RNAcentral lists this ribosomal RNA (256 nucleotides) under uncultured bacterium. RNAcentral's name for it is "partial small subunit ribosomal RNA". It matches the Rfam family "Bacterial small subunit ribosomal RNA", at positions 26 to 286 of the family's 1533-position model. The record is from RNAcentral.